This 419-nucleotide ribosomal RNA is filed under the name uncultured bacterium. RNAcentral describes it as "bacterial SSU rRNA". It matches the Rfam family "Bacterial small subunit ribosomal RNA", at positions 358 to 774 of the family's 1533-position model. The record is from RNAcentral.
GGGAUAUUGGUCAAUGGGGGGAACCCUGAACCAGCCAUGCCGCGUGAGGGAAUAAGGCCCUACGGGUCGUAAACCUCUUUUGCCGGCGGAUAAGGACGCCCACGCGUGGGUGUUUGAAGGUACCCGGAGAAUAAGCAUCGGCUAACUCCGUGCCAGCAGCCGCGGUAAUACGGAGGAUGCGAGCGUUAUCCGGAUUUAUUGGGUUUAAAGGGUGCGCAGGCGGGCUGUUAAGUCAGCGGUGAAAGUUCCCGGCUCAACCGGGUCAGUGCCGUUGAUACUGAUAGUCUUGAAUGCGGUCAAGGCCGGCGGAAUGUGGCGUGUAGCGGUGAAAUGCAUAGAUAUGCCACAGAACACCGAUAGCGAAGGCAGCUGGCCGGGCCUGCAUUGACGCUCAGGCACGAAAGCGUGGGGAUCGAACA